Long non-coding RNA from Mastomys coucha (southern multimammate mouse), 347 nucleotides. RefSeq lists it as uncharacterized. The transcript has 2 exons. The record is from RefSeq and is a predicted model, not a curated record. NCBI's taxonomy places the organism in Eukaryota, Metazoa, Chordata, Mammalia, Rodentia, Muridae.
GCCCUUCUAAGGCCUUCCAAAUGGUUCGCCUGCGUGUGCACAGCUGGGGUGCCAUCCACAGGAGCAUGAGCCACCUAUCAGCAGCUACAACGCCAGGAAAAGGUGAUUCCUCUCAGCUGAAGCUCUCAAGCGCCAACAGCUCCUCAGGUACCUGAACCCCUGGAGGGCACUUCUCAUUCAAACCACCACAGUGGUGGUCUGAGGGGCAACGAAGAAGACCACUGAUGAAUCAUGCACGGAGUAGAAACUUAAAGUCAGUCAUUUUAGUUCCCACCCAGUCCUGCCAAUGUCUCCAAAGCACAUCCUUAGUUAUCUUAGCCUCUUAGCAAAUGAACAAUCUGACCCAA